This 404-nucleotide ribosomal RNA is filed under the name uncultured bacterium. Its description in RNAcentral is "bacterial SSU rRNA". It matches the Rfam family "Bacterial small subunit ribosomal RNA", at positions 355 to 776 of the family's 1533-position model. The record is from RNAcentral.
UGAGGAAUAUUGAGCAAUGGGCGCAAGCCUGACUCAGCAACGCCGCGUGGAUGAUGAAGGCCUUCGGGUUGUAAAAUCCUUUUCUGAGGGACGAUAAUGACGGUACCUCAGGAAUAAGUUCCGGCUAACUACGUGCCAGCAGCCGCGGUAAAACGUAGGGGACAAGCGUUAUCCGGAUUUACUGGGCGUAAAGCGCAUGUAGGUGGCUUGAAAAGUUGGAUGUGAAAGCUCCUGGCUUAACUGGGAGAGGUCAUUCAAAACUAGCAAGCUUGAGGAUGGAAGAGGAGAGCAGAAUUCCCGGUGUAGUGGUGGAAUGCGUAGAUAUCGGGAGGAAUACCAGUGGCGAAAGCGGCUCUCUGGUUCGUGCCUGACACUGAGAUGCGAAAGCGUGGGGAGCGAACGGG